RNAcentral lists this transfer RNA (76 nucleotides) under Escherichia coli. RNAcentral's name for it is "tRNA-Ala". It matches the Rfam family "tRNA". Rfam says of the family: Transfer RNA (tRNA) molecules are approximately 80 nucleotides in length. Their secondary structure includes four short double-helical elements and three loops (D, anti-codon, and T loops). Further hydrogen bonds mediate the characteristic L-shaped molecular structure. tRNAs have two regions of fundamental functional importance: the anti-codon, which is responsible for specific mRNA codon recognition, and the 3' end, to which the tRNAs corresponding amino acid is attached (by aminoacyl-tRNA synthetases). tRNAs cope with the degeneracy of the genetic code in two manners: having more than one tRNA (with a specific anti-codon) for a particular amino acid; and 'wobble' base-pairing, i.e. permitting non-standard base-pairing at the 3rd anti-codon position. Lineage: Bacteria; Pseudomonadati; Pseudomonadota; Gammaproteobacteria; Enterobacterales; Enterobacteriaceae. The record is from RNAcentral. RNAcentral also lists the same sequence under 25 other names.
GGGGAUAUAGCUCAGUUGGGAGAGCGCUUGCAUGGCAUGCAAGAGGUCGUCGGUUCGAUCCCGAUUAUCUCCACCA